RNAcentral lists this ribosomal RNA (465 nucleotides) under Vreelandella stevensii. Its description in RNAcentral is "partial 16S ribosomal RNA". It matches the Rfam family "Bacterial small subunit ribosomal RNA", at positions 338 to 795 of the family's 1533-position model. Lineage: Bacteria; Pseudomonadati; Pseudomonadota; Gammaproteobacteria; Oceanospirillales; Halomonadaceae. The record is from RNAcentral.
CCUACGGGAGGCUGCAGUGGGGAAUAUUGGACAAUGGGGGCAACCCUGAUCCAGCCAUGCCGCGUGUGUGAAGAAGGCCCUCGGGUUGUAAAGCACUUUCAGUGAGGAAGAACGCCUGGUGGUUAAUACCCAUCAGGAAAGACAUCACUCACAGAAGAAGCACCGGCUAACUCCGUGCCAGCAGCCGCGGUAAUACGGAGGGUGCGAGCGUUAAUCGGAAUUACUGGGCGUAAAGCGCGCGUAGGUGGCUUGAUAAGCCGGUUGUGAAAGCCCCGGGCUCAACCUGGGAACGGCAUCCGGAACUGUCAAGCUAGAGUGCAGGAGAGGAAGGUAGAAUUCCCGGUGUAGCGGUGAAAUGCGUAGAGAUCGGGAGGAAUACCAGUGGCGAAGGCGGCCUUCUGGACUGACACUGACUCUGAGGUGCGAAAGCGUGGGUAGCAAACAGGAUUAGAUACCCUGGUAGUC